UGAGUAAUUUCAAUUCACCUUUAAAGUGAUUUUUGUCGCUUGACAAUUAAAUGACUGUUUCUUUGUUCUUGGUCGUAAAUCCAUGAUUGUCAUCUGAUGAACACCCUCCUUUAUUUUCAGCUCAGUGCAGACAUCUUCACUUCUGGCUCCUGGCUUAUUGUAACUAUAUUGCUCUGGUCACUGUGACUCAGGAAUGGAAAAACCCAGUCAAGGGAAAUGAAAUGCAAGGAGAAUUUCUGGAACCAUUGAAAGAAAGCUGUGUCCAUUGGGUCAGCCAUGAGAGGAGAGAAUAUAGUGUGGUCUACUGUUCCGUCUGCUGUGCCAGCCACUAG
This 332-nucleotide long non-coding RNA is filed under the name Capra hircus (goat). RNAcentral describes it as "lncRNA (ENSCHIG00000006182.1)". The record is from RNAcentral. Lineage: Eukaryota; Metazoa; Chordata; Mammalia; Artiodactyla; Bovidae.